UACGUAGGGGGCAAGCGUUGUCCGGAUUUAUUGGGCGUAAAGGGUGCGUAGGCGGCGCGGUAAGUCGGGGGUGAAAUCUCGGGGCUUAACUCCGAAACUGCAUUCGAUACUGCCGUGCUUGAGGACUGGAGAGGAGACUGGAAUUUACGGUGUAGCGGUGAAAUGCGUAGAUAUCGUAAGGAAGACCAGUGGCGAAGGCGGGUCUCUGGACAGUUCCUGACGCUGAGGCACGAAGGUCAGGGGAGCAAACGGG
RNAcentral lists this ribosomal RNA (253 nucleotides) under uncultured bacterium. RNAcentral describes it as "partial 16S ribosomal RNA". It matches the Rfam family "Bacterial small subunit ribosomal RNA", at positions 524 to 776 of the family's 1533-position model. The record is from RNAcentral.